Molecule: ribosomal RNA, 550 nt
Filed under: Enterococcus casseliflavus
Lineage: Bacteria; Bacillati; Bacillota; Bacilli; Lactobacillales; Enterococcaceae
Description: bacterial SSU rRNA
Rfam family: Bacterial small subunit ribosomal RNA
Source: RNAcentral
GUGGCGAACGGGUGAGUAACACGUGGGUAACCUGCCCAUCAGAAGGGGAUAACACUUGGAAACAGGUGCUAAUACCGUAUAACACUAUUUUCCGCAUGGAAGAAAGUUGAAAGGCGCUUUUGCGUCACUGAUGGAUGGACCCGCGGUGCAUUAGCUAGUUGGUGAGGUAACGGCUCACCAAGGCAACGAUGCAUAGCCGACCUGAGAGGGUGAUCGGCCACACUGGGACUGAGACACGGCCCAGACUCCUACGGGAGGCAGCAGUAGGGAAUCUUCGGCAAUGGACGAAAGUCUGACCGAGCAACGCCGCGUGAGUGAAGAAGGUUUUCGGAUCGUAAAACUCUGUUGUUAGAGAAGAACAAGGAUGAGAGUAAAAUGUUCAUCCCUUGACGGUAUCUAACCAGAAAGCCACGGCUAACUACGUGCCAGCAGCCGCGGUAAUACGUAGGUGGCAAGCGUUGUCCGGAUUUAUUGGGCGUAAAGCGAGCGCAGGCGGUUUCUUAAGUCUGAUGUGAAAGCCCCCGGCUCAACCGGGGAGGGUCAUUGGAAA